AACUUUUAGCAACGGAUCACUUGGCUCUCGCAUCGAUGAAGAACGCGGCGAAAUGCGAUAAGUAAUGUGAAUAGCAGAUUUCAGUGAAUCAUCGAAUCUUUGAACGCACCUUGCGCUCCUCGGUCUUCCGAGGAGCAUGCCUGUUUGAGUGCCCAGAAGUAAUCUCAACUAACACCUUGUGUGUGAGUUGGAUAUGGGGGUCUGCUGUCGACUUGUUCACGGCUCCUCCUAAAUGUGUUAGCUGUUUGGUGAUGAACCACUGUUGGCUUGAUAUCAUGUCUCUGCCGCGGUUGUACAUGUGCCAUUUCUCAUAAUCGUCUUCGGACAACUUUCUGACCUCGGGCCUCAAAUCAGGUAGGAUUACCCGCUGAACUUAAGCAUAUCAAUAAGCGGAGGCU
This 398-nucleotide unclassified non-coding RNA is filed under the name uncultured Basidiomycota. RNAcentral describes it as "sequence contains ITS2". The stretch from base 1 to 154 matches the Rfam family "5.8S ribosomal RNA". The record is from RNAcentral. Lineage: Eukaryota; Fungi; Basidiomycota.